GGGGAAUCUUCCGCAAUGGACGAAAGUCUGACGGAGCAACGCCGCGUGAGUGACGACGGCCUUCGGGUUGUAAAGCUCUGUUAAUCGGGACGAAUGGUUCUUGUGCGAAUAGUGCGAGGAUUUGACGGUACCGGAAUAGAAAGCCACGGCUAACUACGUGCCAGCAGCCGCGGUAAUACGUAGGUGGCAAGCGUUGUCCGGAAUUAUUGGGCGUAAAGCGCGCGCAGGCGGAUUGGUCAGUCUGUCUUAAAAGUUCGGGGCUUAACCCCGUGAUGGGAUGGAAACUGCCAAUCUAGAGUAUCGGAGAGGAAAGUGGAAUUCCUAGUGUAGCGGUGAAAUGCGUAGAUAUUAGGAAGAACACCAGUGGCGAAGGCGACUUUCUGGACGAAAACUGACGCUGAGGCGCGAAAGCCAGGGGAGCGAACGGGAUUAGAUACCCCGGUAGUCCUGGCCGUAAACGAUGGGUACUAGGUGUAGGAGGUAUCGACCCCUUCUGUGCCGGAGUUAACGCAAUAAGUACCCCGCCUGGGGAGUACGACCGCAAGGUUG
This 549-nucleotide ribosomal RNA is filed under the name uncultured bacterium. Its description in RNAcentral is "bacterial SSU rRNA". It matches the Rfam family "Bacterial small subunit ribosomal RNA", at positions 356 to 896 of the family's 1533-position model. The record is from RNAcentral.